This 480-nucleotide ribosomal RNA is filed under the name uncultured bacterium. RNAcentral describes it as "partial 16S ribosomal RNA". It matches the Rfam family "Bacterial small subunit ribosomal RNA", at positions 28 to 523 of the family's 1533-position model. The record is from RNAcentral.
GACGAACGCUGGCGGCGUGCUUAACACAUGCAAGUCGAGCGGAAAGGCCACUUCGGUGGUACUCGAGCGGCGAACGGGUGAGUAACACGUGAGUAAUCUGCCCCUGGCUUUGGGAUAGCCACCGGAAACGGUGAUUAAUACCGGAUACGACCACUUCUCGCAUGGGAUGGUGGUGAAAGUUUUUUCGGCCAGGGAUGUGCGCGCGGCCUAUCAGCUUGAUUGUGAGGUAAUGGCUCACCAUGGCUUCGACGGGUAGCCGGCCUGAGAGGGUGACCGGUCACACUGGGACUGAGACGCGGCCCAGGCUCCUACGGGAGGCAGCAGUGGGGAAUAUUGGACAAUGGGCGGAAGCCUGAUCCAGCAACGCCGCGUGAGGGAUGACGGCCUUCGGGUUGUAAACCUCUUUCAGCAGGGACGAAGCGCAAGUGACGGUACCUGCAGAAGAAGCACCGGCCAACUACGUGCCAGCCGCCGCAGUAA